CUUUAAAUUGCAAAACACAAGCUUCACCUUCCCUUGAAACUCCAAGCUACUCCCUCAGAUCUGGACUACUUCUUGAGAGGACUGGAUGAAUGCUGCCUGACCCUUGGCAUCUUGGCUCUUUCCACAGUUUGGCGACUGUG
Mustela erminea (ermine) is the source of this 140-nucleotide long non-coding RNA. RefSeq lists it as uncharacterized. The record is from RefSeq and is a predicted model, not a curated record. The transcript has 3 exons. Lineage: Eukaryota; Metazoa; Chordata; Mammalia; Carnivora; Mustelidae.